CUAAUUAACCGCUCCACAUUCUAGGGUUUUAUAGAAAAAAAAAAAUCCCAAAUCAUAGUGAAGCAUCUAGGCGACUCCUCCUCCCCUCUGAAGAAUAGAUGCUUUGAGUUCAAUCACUACUAGUAUACAAGCAUCGAUCAUCAGGUAAAUCAUCAACUUAACUUUCGACUAUGGCUUUGCAUUUGUUUUGGAGCAAUACACUGGUCAAUCCCUUGUCUUCUCCAAGGAUUGAGUGUUGAACUUGGUUAUCAAGGAGCUUGUUAAGGAAAAAGAUGAAGAAAAAGAAAGCUUAAAUGGAUAAGGUGGAUAAAGAUGUUAUGCUCAAUAGUCAAUAGGAUGUCAUAAAUUGAUGCUAUGAUAACAGCUAUGCUUCGAAGAUAGGCUGUAAACUAAGUUUUGAAUGUUUCAAUAUUAGGAUAAUUUUGGUAUAUAAUGAUUUAGUUUGUAUUUUUAUUAGAAU
RNAcentral lists this long non-coding RNA (460 nucleotides) under Helianthus annuus (common sunflower). The record is from RNAcentral. Lineage: Eukaryota; Viridiplantae; Streptophyta; Magnoliopsida; Asterales; Asteraceae.